CAUAUCAAUAAGCGGAGGAAAAGAAACCAACAGGGAUUGCCCUAGUAACGGCGAGUGAAGCGGCAACAGCUCAAAUUUGAAAUCUGGCUCUCGGGCCCGAGUUGUAAUUUGUAGAGGAUACUUUUGAUGCGGUGCCUUCCGAGUUCCCUGGAACGGGACGCCAUAGAGGGUGAGAGCCCCGUCUGGUUGGAUGCCAAAUCUCUGUAAAGUUCCUUCAACGAGUCGAGUAGUUUGGGAAUGCUGCUCUAAAUGGGAGGUAUAUGUCUUCUAAAGCUAAAUACCGGCCAGAGACCGAUAGCGCACAAGUAGAGUGAUCGAAAGAUGAAAAGCACUUUGAAAAGAGAGUUAAAAAGUACGUGAAAUUGUUGAAAGGGAAGCGUUUAUGACCAGACUUGGGCUUGGUUAAUCAUCUGGGGUUCUCCCCAGUGCACUUUUCCAGUCCAGGCCAGCAUCAGUUUUCCCCGGGGGAUAAAGGCGGCGGGAAUGUGGCUCUCUUCGGGGAGUGUUAUAGCCCACCGUGUAAUACCCUGGGGGGGACUGAGGUUCGCGCAUCUGCAAGGAUGCUGGCGUAAUGGUCAUCAACGACCCGUCUUGAAACACGGACCAAGGAGUCGUCUUCGUAUGCGAGUGUUCGGGUGUCAAACCCCUACGCGUAAUGAAAGUGAACGCAGGUGAGAGCUUCGGCGCAUCAUCGACCGAUCCUGAUGUUCUCGGAUGGAUUUGAGUAAGAGCAUACGGGGCCGGACCCGAAAGAAGGUGAACUAUGCCUGUAUAGGGUGAAGCCAGAGGAAACUCUGGUGGAGGCUCGCAGCGGUUCUGACGUGCAAAUCGAUCGUCAAAUAUGGGCAUGGGGGGCGAAAGACUAAUCGAACCUUCUAGUAGCUGGUUUCCGCGA
This 895-nucleotide ribosomal RNA is filed under the name Fusarium oxysporum f. sp. elaeidis. RNAcentral describes it as "LSU rRNA". It matches the Rfam family "Eukaryotic large subunit ribosomal RNA", at positions 39 to 963 of the family's 3401-position model. The record is from RNAcentral. Lineage: Eukaryota; Fungi; Ascomycota; Sordariomycetes; Hypocreales; Nectriaceae.